This 823-nucleotide small RNA is filed under the name Pongo abelii (Sumatran orangutan). RNAcentral's name for it is "processed transcript". Lineage: Eukaryota; Metazoa; Chordata; Mammalia; Primates; Hominidae. The record is from RNAcentral.
CCUGUAGUCCCAGCUACUUGGGAGGCUGAGGCAGGACAAUCACUUGAACCCAGGAUGCAGAGGUUGCAGUGAGCCGAUGUUGCACCACUGCAGCGCAGCCUGCCAACAGAGUAAGACUCCAUCUCAACAACACAACAAAAUAAAAAAGGAAGAAAAUUUUUAGGAGACAAUGUUUUUCCAAGAGACUUCAGAACCAUUCCCUGGAGUGAAUUAUUUCCAGUGGUGAAGAGUAAUGGAUGGAUGGGAUGAGAUUCUCAAAAAAAUCUUGCUCCUAUUUCAGAAGUGUCACUUCAGCCCCUUGAAGGUCCAGUAAACCUGGCUGAGUAGUGUGGUCUGUGGAGGUGCAUGGGCUUCAGAGUCAGGCCAACGUUGAUCCUGAGUCCCAGCCAGCUGCUUAGUAGCUGUGGGAUAGUUAUACAAGACACAUCUGCAAGAAAAGUCAUGAUAAAAUUGAUUGCAAAAACAGCAAUUUGAAAAAUUUCUUAUUGUAUUCAUGUCCUUGGAAAUGGCUUUUAUAGUCAUUCCUAUCAAGAGACAGAUUGUUUCCCAAACCUUGAAUCUCUCUUGACUUAUUUGCACUGGCACUGUGUGCCAGUUUGGGGCCCAGGUUUAAAGGUCCUAAAUGCUUCUGUUAUCUUUUUCAGAAUUCUUCCAUCUCUAUGAGAACAAGCCCAUUUUAACUUUCUGGAGAAUAAAGUAGCAUCUGAGAAGAGCCAAAGUGCCUCAGUUUACAGACAGCUCACUCCCAGAAGCAGAGCCACCUAAUUCACCAGCAGCUGACCACUCACACCUGAAGGAGCCAAACUGAGCCCAGAAGAAUGGC